CAGCCGCCGCGGGAACACGUAGGUGGCAAGCGUUGUCCGGGAUUAUUGGGCGUAAAGGGCUCGCAGGCGGUUUCUUAAGUCUGAUGUGAAAGCCCCCGGCUCAACCGGGGAGGGUCAUUGGAAACUGGGAAACUUGAGUGCAGAAGAGGAGAGUGGAAUUCCACGUGUAGCGGUGAAAUGCGUAGAGAUGUGGAGGAACACCAGUGGCGAAGGCGACUCUCUGGUCUGUAACUGACGCUGAGGAGCGAAAGCGUGGGGAGCGAACAGGAUUAGAUACCCCAGUAGUCCCUGUCUCUUAUAC
This 301-nucleotide ribosomal RNA is filed under the name uncultured bacterium. RNAcentral describes it as "partial 16S ribosomal RNA". It matches the Rfam family "Bacterial small subunit ribosomal RNA", at positions 509 to 807 of the family's 1533-position model. The record is from RNAcentral.